RNAcentral lists this ribosomal RNA (274 nucleotides) under uncultured bacterium. RNAcentral's name for it is "partial 16S ribosomal RNA". It matches the Rfam family "Bacterial small subunit ribosomal RNA", at positions 523 to 796 of the family's 1533-position model. The record is from RNAcentral.
AUACGGAGGGUGCAAGCGUUAAUCGGAAUUACUGGGCGUAACGCGCGCGUAGGCGGGUAUUUAAGUCAGAUGUGAAAUCCCUGGGCUCAACCUAGGAACUGCAUCUGAUACGGGGUAACUAGAGUUUUGGAGAGGUAAGUGGAAUUUCCGGUGUAGCGGUGAAAUGCAUAGAGAUUGGAAGGAACACCAGUGGCGAAGGCGACUUACUGGCCAAAAACUGACGCUGAGGUGCGAAAGCGUGGGUAGCAAACAGGAUUAGAAACCCUUGUAGUCC